GAAGACGAAGCGUCGCGUACCUGGAUUGGUCAGGAUCGGAUGGGCCGGGGGGCCUCCGAGGGAGCCCAGGAUCCGGUCCGUCGAGGGGCAGGGUGAAAGUCAAGGCCCGACGCGGACGACGAGGUGGGGGAGAAACGCCCGGCGGUGUCCAACGGCCGAACGAUACACGCGGAACGUGGCGGGGGUGUCCAGACGGGCCCACAGACGGACCCGACCAACGAGACGACGUAACGAGCCGACCCCCGAGUCGGCGAAAGGGGGACCCGUCGCGAGGAGCGAGGGCAGAGCUCGAGAAGGAUGCGGGCAACGUCGACAGAAGACGCCGAGUAGCGCGAAUCUGCACGGACGUGCGAAGACAGUCAAAACGAAGAAAAGAAACAAAGGCAUUUCAUUAAAUUAAAGCAAGUGUUACAAUUGUCGGCGGUACGGCUGGAAAAAAUACACAACACAUAACAACAGCUAACACGGAUACAAAAAAGAAAUAGGAGAGAAGAAGAACGAGGCGCGCCCCAGACGUCGUCCCGC
This 525-nucleotide long non-coding RNA is filed under the name Zostera marina. RNAcentral's name for it is "long non-coding RNA (ZMAR_LNC000850)". Lineage: Eukaryota; Viridiplantae; Streptophyta; Magnoliopsida; Alismatales; Zosteraceae. The record is from RNAcentral.